This 136-nucleotide ribosomal RNA is filed under the name Escherichia coli. RNAcentral's name for it is "partial 16S ribosomal RNA". It matches the Rfam family "Bacterial small subunit ribosomal RNA", at positions 1 to 130 of the family's 1533-position model. The record is from RNAcentral. Lineage: Bacteria; Pseudomonadati; Pseudomonadota; Gammaproteobacteria; Enterobacterales; Enterobacteriaceae.
AAAUUGAAGAGUUUGAUCAUGGCUCAGAUUGAAUGCUGGCGGCAGGCCUAACACAUGCAAGUCGAACGGUAACAGGAAACAGCUUGCUGUUUCGCUGACGAGUGGCGGACGGGUGAGUAAUGUCUGGGAAACUGCC